This 1442-nucleotide long non-coding RNA is filed under the name Chinchilla lanigera (long-tailed chinchilla). RNAcentral's name for it is "lncRNA (ENSCLAG00000022678.1)". Lineage: Eukaryota; Metazoa; Chordata; Mammalia; Rodentia; Chinchillidae. The record is from RNAcentral.
GUGAGUUCCUACUCAAACAACUGUUUCUGAGAUGGGGCAAGGUAUUCAUUUUUGUUUGUUUGUUUUGAUCCCAGGAAUCAAACUCAACCCCUUGCACUUGCCAGCAGGCACAUCUGCCACUGAGCUACCUCCCCAGCCUGGUAUAUGGUGUUAAAAAAUUACAGGAGAGUCUGGACCCAAGAGGAAUGGAGGAGACAUGGAAAGAAUGUCACCGUCAGUCUUGUUCCUCCUCAAGGGGACAGAGCAGAGGUAAAGAUAUUCCCAGCCUCCACGCCCACACUACCACCAAAGAGGCCACAUUUCACCUGCAGUCAGAUUGCCUAACCGUUGAGGAACUCAUCUUACAACUUGAAUUUUGAUGAAAUUUAAUGUUUAAGAUCUGUUUUAUGUAAUUAAUUUCUUGUUCAGAAGUCUACUCAGUCUCUGACACAGAGUGGCUAUAUUGUAUUGAAUUGAAUGGAUGAAUGCGUGUAACCUAACUAUCACUAUCAAAUCCACACAGAAUUAUUUUAAGUAUGAAAAAAAUCUUUACUGUCAAUUCUAACAUAUGUUAGCUGGGACAAAUCAAUUAAAAAGCAAGACAACACAUUUUAAGUUUUUUUUUGUUUAAGUCCUAGAUAAAUUUACUUUCAAAAUCACCUCCAACCUCUGUGCUCCACAAAGGGAUGUAUGGAAUUUAAUUACUAUUAAUUACUGUUAUUAUUUCCUGAUGUUGCUUAUCAGAAUAUUUCAUUUUUAUGCCAAUUAGAGUAUAAUUAUUAGGAUAAUGGACUUUACAAAAACCAAUUAUGCAAGGAGACUGGAUGGGAUUUAUCUCUAGUAAUUGAGUCUUAACAAUUUAAGAUCAAAAUAAGUGAAUCAAAAUGAAAAUGUAGAAUCAUUAACCCCCCCAGGCAUCAACAAUAAGGUUGAUUUGCUCUUCUUUUCCAAAUUAAGCUAAUAUUUUACAAUGUCACAUCAGUUGAUAUAUACAGGCCCCUUUCACAGUGAGUAAAAUUGUGUUUAUCAACAUAUAACACAGCCCCAGGCCAUGCAAAUUCUGUAAAACUUUUCUUAUCAGAGCUUACAUUUGAUCCAAACACCCACACAAGGACUCGAGAAAUUCUCAGUUAUAAUAUUUACUCGGAACUUACGGAAUCCAUCUGAGAGACAGAGGAAAAGAGAUACACUUGUAGUAUGACUCUCCCUUGCUAAUAAGGCAGAGGUCGAUCAAUGAAUACUAAGUUGUAGUUAGAUAAGAGCAAGGAGUUUUGGUGACCUGCCAUACGGUAUAGUGACUGUAGACAGUGAUUGUGUGUUGUACAUUUCAAAGAGCUAGAAGAAAGGAUUUGGACUGCUUUUAACAUAAAUGAUAAAUAUUUGGAGACAGGUCUUUUUAACUAAUUUGAAUAUUAUACAACAUAUAUAUGCAUUGUAACAUCAUUUAGUACCCCAUAAACGUA